Molecule: long non-coding RNA, 417 nt
Filed under: Hordeum vulgare
Lineage: Eukaryota; Viridiplantae; Streptophyta; Magnoliopsida; Poales; Poaceae
Description: long non-coding RNA (HVUL_LNC020993)
Source: RNAcentral
GCACGCCAUAGCACUAGCUGCAGCAUUGGUCCUGGCCUGCUCUAUCUGAGCAAAUCUAAGUAGGUUACUUGAUUGAUUAGUUCGUUAGUGUGUGAUGUGCGUGUGAUAAAUCAAAGGACCAUAGAUUUAGUAUCAGAGUGUUUGGUUUGAUGUAUCGGAGUGAAUUGCAAAAAAAAGCACCACAUUUGAAGUUCAUUUUGGAAAUUGCCACCACAUUUCUUGCACGGCAAAAGCUAUCACUUUUCUUACUCCGAGUGGAGAGCUGGCUCGAUAGACGAAGAUUCGCGCGCGACGCAGCCGCACCCAACGGCGGAAUGGUCAUUGGAGCAGGGGGUAGCAGCGGCCCGCAAGAUUCAGCCAACUCCCCUGGGGGCCGGGCCAUGAGUGGGCUUCAUCUCUCGGCGGCGUGGAGCCAGG